GACGAACGCUGGCGGCGUGCUUAACACAUGCAAGUCGAACGGAAAGGCCCUGCUUUUGUGGGGUGCUCGAGUGGCGAACGGGUGAGUAGCACGUGAGUAACCUGCCCUUGACUUUGGGAUAACUUCAGGAAACUGGGGCUAAUACCGGAUAGGAGCUCCUGCUGCAUGGUGGGGGUUGGAAAGUUUCGGCGGUUGGGGAUGGACUCGCGGCUUAUCAGCUUGUUGGUGGGGUAGUGGCUUACCAAGGCUUUGACGGGUAGCCGGCCUGAGAGGGUGACCGGCCACAUUGGGACUGAGAUACGGCCCAGACUCCUACGGGAGGCAGCAGUGUGGAAUAUUGCACAAUGGGCGGAAGCCUGAUGCAGCAACGCCGCGUGCGGGAUGACGGCCUUCGGGUUGUAAACCGCUUUCGCCUGUGACGAAGCGUGAGUGACGGUAAUGGGUAAAGAAGCACCGGCUAACUACGUG
This 468-nucleotide ribosomal RNA is filed under the name uncultured bacterium. RNAcentral's name for it is "partial 16S ribosomal RNA". It matches the Rfam family "Bacterial small subunit ribosomal RNA", at positions 28 to 507 of the family's 1533-position model. The record is from RNAcentral.